Long non-coding RNA from Eucalyptus grandis, 996 nucleotides. RefSeq lists it as uncharacterized. NCBI's taxonomy places the organism in Eukaryota, Viridiplantae, Streptophyta, Magnoliopsida, Myrtales, Myrtaceae. The transcript has 4 exons. The record is from RefSeq and is a predicted model, not a curated record.
UCUAUCGAUCGAUCUCGCCUCCUCCUUCGCUGAACAGCAGGAAGCAAAGCAGGGCUCUCCUUCUCCUUCUUGACACCAUAGGCGUCAAAUGAAGCGUCCGAAAUGCCAGGACUGAGAGAAGUGAAGCUGCUGCACUUAGCGGAGCAGAGCCAAGUAGGAGAGAGAGAGGGAGAUCCAACCAGAUGGAGUGUUAUCGUGGUCGUCGUUGCUGGAGAGAAGACCGUGCUCUCUCUCUCCUCCGCCCUUGAACCCAGCAAGCUCUCAAUGGGAGGGAUUUCCCAGCGUUCAUCUUUUUUGGUGGGGGAAUGGUUUUUGCAAAAAGAGAAGGGUGACUCUGAGCUUCUACUGUUGAAAAGGAUAAAGUCGUGCUCUUAGAUGUGCAUCCACUACAGAAGGCUUUCCUGGCCUGCGGUACUUUGUAUGAUAAGGUUUUGGAUAGUGGAUACAUCUAGAGUUAGGUGGUCCCAUUGGUUGAUUGUUCGUCCUUUUUGAAGUCGACGCAACUAUGAUGGUCGUGGAAGGCAUGUGCUUCAUUUCAUUGGCUGCGGGAGAUGAUGUCGAUGAGAGUAUAAUCAUGUGUAGAAUAUGUGGAUAUGCACGGUGCACUUGAAGAAAAACAACCUCGACCGGUGUUUUGGUUGGGGAUGUAUGCACUGAAGUAGUAAAGCUUCUUGUCUUUUUCUCGCACAGCGUCUGAUGUGAUUGAAGAAUCUGCUAAAGCCGAAUUUCUCCCUGGAUUCCCUGGUAUAGAGUCUGUCCCUGGCCCUCAAUUGCCUCAGAUUGAGGCAUCCUGAGUUGGUUUAUUAUGGUCCCAUGCGUCCAAGGCCUCUCACUGCUCUUAAAUCAGCUGACAAAUUUUCCAAUGGAGCAGGUGGUGAUGAGGCCCUCUUAUGUUCAGUAUGGCUUGAUGGGCAGUCUACUCCUAUUCAAUUCAUCACGCAACAUAUUCAGGAAAUUAAGCAAAUCACGACUCUUAGGUAUUCGGACAGGUCAUGG